CUCUGGCGCAAUGCAUAGCGCGUUGAACUUCUAAUCCAGGGGUCGUGGUUUCGAAUCCCACCUGGUUGG
Trichonephila clavipes is the source of this 69-nucleotide non-coding RNA. The record is from the annotation of a GenBank genome assembly. Lineage: Eukaryota; Metazoa; Arthropoda; Arachnida; Araneae; Nephilidae.